Molecule: unclassified non-coding RNA, 270 nt
Filed under: Beauveria kipukae
Lineage: Eukaryota; Fungi; Ascomycota; Sordariomycetes; Hypocreales; Cordycipitaceae
Description: partial contains 5.8S ribosomal RNA, internal transcribed spacer 2, and large subunit ribosomal RNA
Source: RNAcentral
CGCACAUUGCGCCCGCCAGUAUUCUGGCGGGCAUGCCUGUUCGAGCGUCAUUUCAACCCUCGACCUCCUGGGACUUGUUUCCAGGCGGUCGGUGUUGGGGCUCGGGUGCCACUAGAUGGCGUCCGUCCCCUAAAGAUAGUGGCGGUCACGCUGCAGCUUCCUCUGCGUAGUAAACUACCUCGCAGUCUGGAGAGUGGCGCGGCCACGCCGUGAAACCCCCUACUUCUUAAGGUUGACCUCGGAUCAGGUAGGAAUACCCGCUGAACUUAA